AUCAACUUUCGAUGGUAGGAUAGAGGCCUACCAUGGUGGUAACGGGUAACGGGGUGUUAGGGCACGACACCGGAGAGGGAGCCUGAGAAACGGCUACCACAUCCAAGGAUGGCAGCAGGCGCGCAAAUUACCCAAUCCCGACACGGGGAGGUAGUGACAAUAAAUAACAAUACGGGGUUCUAUAGGAUUUCGUAAUUGGAAUGAGUACAAUUUAAAUCUCUUAACGAUCAACAAUUGGAGGGCAAGUCUGGUGCCAGCAGCCGCGGUAAUUCCAGCUCCAAUAGCGUAUAUUAAAGUUGUUGCAGUUAAAAAGCUCGUAGUUGAAUUUCGGGGUUAGUAGGUUGGUCAUGCCUCUGGUAUGUACUGAUCUUACUGAUUCCUCCCUCUUGACGAACUGUAAUGUCAUUAAUUUGGUGUUGCAGGAAAUCAGGACUGUUACUUUGAAAAAAUUAGAGUGUUUAAAGCAGGCUUAGGCUUGAAUACAUUAGCAUGGAAUAAUGAAAUAGGACGUUUGAACCUAUUUUGUUGGUUUCUAGGAUCGACGUAAUGAUUAAUAGGGAUAGUUGGGGGCAUUAGUAUUCAAUUGUCAGAGGUGAAAUUCUUGGAUUUAUUGAAGACUAACUACUGCGAAAGCAUUUGCCAAGGAUGUUUUCAUUAAUCAAGAACGAAAGUUAGGGGAUCGAAGACGAUCAGAUACCGUCGUAGUCUUAACCAUAAACUAUGCCGACUAGGGAUCGGAUGAUGUUAAUUUUUUAAUGACUCAUUCGGCGCCUUACGGGAAACCAAAGUGUUUGGGUU
Molecule: ribosomal RNA, 798 nt
Filed under: Glomeromycotina sp.
Lineage: Eukaryota; Fungi; Glomeromycota
Description: SSU rRNA
Rfam family: Eukaryotic small subunit ribosomal RNA
Source: RNAcentral